UAUUAAAAUUUUUAUUUAUUUAUUUUAUUAAAAAUUGAUAUGGUUGACAAAAUAGUGAAACGAAUACAUAGGGCGUGCUACAUGUUCCUUAUUAUGAUGUACAAAGACUAAUUUUUAACAAUAGAAAUGGAUGGAAUUUUUAAUA
Molecule: non-coding RNA, 145 nt
Organism: Gossypium raimondii (Peruvian cotton)
Lineage: Eukaryota; Viridiplantae; Streptophyta; Magnoliopsida; Malvales; Malvaceae
Source: Rfam